CUUUACUACUUAAAAAUAUCAGAUCCAUGCCUUUGGCAUGCAGUCUGCUCAAUUCUAGUUUCCAUCUUUUAAUCCCAAAGUAGUACCAUAGGCUGCUGGGCUUUACUGAAUGCAACAGUUAUUUCGGUGACCAUUGGAGUCUUUAAAACGCAGGCGCAUCUUGGGGCGGUAUUUCUCCAAGUACAGAAGUUGCUUGCUAUUAAAAGCUCCACGACGUUUCUGUCUUAUGAACUGCACUGCAUCUUCAUACUUCAUUCCACAUUCUAUCAGUGCAAGAGCAACUAAGACUGGAGCUCGUCCAAGACCAGCAACACAGUGUACAGCAAUACAACAACCGGGUUCUUCACGAAAUUUAACUUUAAGGAGGUUUAGCCAAUCAUCAACAAUCUGGUUGGAUGGUGGUGCACCGUCAUCAAAGGGCCAAUCCAAAACCUGAAUGCCUUCUUUUUCCACCGGAGCAGUAUCAUAAGUAGCUUCACACACUCUUACCACUGUGGUAACACCAUAUUUCUUAAGUUCCUCUAUAAAUUUGUUUAAGGUUGCAUUGGUUGGAUUGUGUGUGAUUAGAAAUCUCAUGUUCUUGUAGGUGAUUUCCACAGGAGCUGGGCGGUUCAUUCGGGCCAUAUUAAUUUAGUUAAACAUGCAACAAGAUUAUGAAAGGAUUCAAAAAAAUCUAAUAUAGAAGUGAUGUAGAGAAACCGAAGUCUACUUCACUAUACUCCACGUGAAAUUCUCAGUGCUUGGAAGUAUGAAGUUGGG
Molecule: long non-coding RNA, 759 nt
Filed under: Gallus gallus (chicken)
Lineage: Eukaryota; Metazoa; Chordata; Aves; Galliformes; Phasianidae
Source: RNAcentral